UACGUAGGUGGCGAGCGUUGUCCGGAUUUACUGGGCGUAAGGAGCGCGCAGGCGGUCGUACAAGUCGCGUGUGAAAGCCCCUGGCUCAACUGGGGAGGGUCACGCGAUACUGUUCGACUCGAAGGCAGGAGAGGGAAGUGGAAUUCCCGGUGUAGUGGUGAAAUGCGUAGAUAUCAGGAAGAACACCCGUGGCGAAGGCGGUUCUCUGGGACGGUACUGACGCUGAGACGCGAAAGCGUGGGGAGCGAACAGG
This 253-nucleotide ribosomal RNA is filed under the name uncultured bacterium. RNAcentral's name for it is "partial 16S ribosomal RNA". It matches the Rfam family "Bacterial small subunit ribosomal RNA", at positions 524 to 776 of the family's 1533-position model. The record is from RNAcentral.